RNAcentral lists this signal recognition particle RNA (283 nucleotides) under Ophiocordyceps unilateralis. RNAcentral's name for it is "Fungal signal recognition particle RNA". It matches the Rfam family "Fungal signal recognition particle RNA". Lineage: Eukaryota; Fungi; Ascomycota; Sordariomycetes; Hypocreales; Ophiocordycipitaceae. The record is from Rfam by way of RNAcentral.
GACUGUAAUGGUCCAAAGGACGAAGCCUCUCAACGCCCUCGGCAAAUCCCCGGCUGCCCAUUCCGUCAGAUCCCUCCCGCCAGGCGCCCAGUUCGAACGCCGCGGUGGCCGCCCUAGACUCGCGCUGGUAACACGUGAAUGGUCUAGCGGCCUUAAGGUACGAGGGUGAUGCUUCAGGGAGGUUUCACUCUGCAGAGGCACCCUCCCCGUCGCGUGGCGAAUUGGAUAACGACCGCGGGAGGAUGUGGGCGACGGGAUAGAGGCGGAGAAAUCAACGUCCAUU